RNAcentral lists this ribosomal RNA (662 nucleotides) under Bacillus sp. enrichment culture clone CBMAI_973. Its description in RNAcentral is "bacterial SSU rRNA". It matches the Rfam family "Bacterial small subunit ribosomal RNA", at positions 119 to 767 of the family's 1533-position model. Lineage: Bacteria; Bacillati; Bacillota; Bacilli; Caryophanales; Bacillaceae. The record is from RNAcentral.
GGGUAACCUGCCUGUAAGACUGGGAUAACUCCGGGAAACCGGAGCUAAUACCGGAUAGUUCCUUGAACCGCAUGGUUCAAGGAUGAAAGACGGUUUCGGCUGUCACUUACAGAUGGACCCGCGGCGCAUUAGCUAGUUGGUGGGGUAAUGGCUCACCAAGGCGACGAUGCGUAGCCGACCUGAGAGGGUGAUCGGCCACACUGGGACUGAGACACGGCCCAGACUCCUACGGGAGGCAGCAGUAGGGAAUCUUCCGCAAUGGACGAAAGUCUGACGGAGCAACGCCGCGUGAGUGAUGAAGGUUUUCGGAUCGUAAAGCUCUGUUGUUAGGGAAGAACAAGUGCGAGAGUAACUGCUCGCACCUUGACGGUACCUAACCAGAAAGCCACGGCUAACUACGUGCCAGCAGCCGCGGUAAUACGUAGGUGGCAAGCGUUGUCCGGAAUUAUUGGGCGUAAAGGGCUCGCAGGCGGUUUCUUAAGUCUGAUGUGAAAGCCCCCGGCUCAACCGGGGAGGGUCAUUGGAAACUGGGAAACUUGAGUGCAGAAGAGGAGAGUGGAAUUCCACGUGUAGCGGUGAAAUGCGUAGAGAUGUGGAGGAACACCAGUGGCGAAGGCGACUCUCUGGUCUGUAACUGACGCUGAGGAGCGAAAGCGUGGGGA